This 162-nucleotide ribosomal RNA is filed under the name bacterium enrichment culture. Its description in RNAcentral is "partial 16S ribosomal RNA". It matches the Rfam family "Bacterial small subunit ribosomal RNA", at positions 354 to 507 of the family's 1533-position model. The record is from RNAcentral.
UGGGGCAAUAUUGGACAAUGGGCGCAAGCCUGAUCCAGCCAUGCCGCGUGUGUGAAGAAGGCCUUUUGGUUGUAAAGCACUUUAAGCGAGGAGGAGGCUACUUGGAUUAAUACUCUAGGAUAGUGGACGUUACUCGCAGAAUAAGCACCGGCUAACUCUGUG